RNAcentral lists this ribosomal RNA (481 nucleotides) under uncultured bacterium. RNAcentral's name for it is "bacterial SSU rRNA". It matches the Rfam family "Bacterial small subunit ribosomal RNA", at positions 29 to 506 of the family's 1533-position model. The record is from RNAcentral.
UUGAACGCUGGCGGCAUGCCUUACACAUGCAAGUCGAACGCGAAAGGGGGCAACCCUGAGUAGAGUGGCGAACGGGUGAGUAAUGCAUCGGAACGUGUCCUGUAGCGGGGGACAACCUCGAGAAAUCGAGGCUAAUACCGCAUACGUCCUGAGGGAGAAAGCGGGGGAUCUGCAAGGACCUCGCGCUCAUGGAGCGGCCGAUGUCGGAUUAGCUAGUUGGCGGGGUAAAGGCCCACCAAGGCUACGAUCCGUAGCUGGUUUGAGAGAACGACCAGCCACACUGGGACUGAGACACGGCCCAGACUCCUACGGGAGGCAGCAGUGGGGAAUUUUGGACAAUGGGGGCAACCCUGAUCCAGCCAUGCCGCGUGAGUGAAGAAGGCCUUCGGGUUGUAAAGCUCUUUCGGCCGGAACGAAAUCGCGUACGCAAAUAACGUGCGUGGAUGACGGUACUGGAAGAAGAAGCACCGGCUAACUACGU